RNAcentral lists this ribosomal RNA (253 nucleotides) under uncultured bacterium. RNAcentral describes it as "partial 16S ribosomal RNA". It matches the Rfam family "Bacterial small subunit ribosomal RNA", at positions 524 to 776 of the family's 1533-position model. The record is from RNAcentral.
UACGAAGGGGGCUAGCGUUGCUCGGAAUCACUGGGCGUAAAGGGCGCGUAGGCGGGCUCUUAAGUCAGGGGUGAAAGCCCAAGGCUCAACCUUGGAACUGCCUUUGAUACUGCAAAUCUCGAGUCCGGAAGAGGUGAGUGGAAUUCCUAGUGUAGAGGUGAAAUUCGUAGAUAUUAGGAAGAACACCAGUGGCGAAGGCGGCUCACUGGUCCGGUACUGACGCUGAGGUGCGAAAGCGUGGGGAGCAAACGGG